RNAcentral lists this unclassified non-coding RNA (204 nucleotides) under Sporobolomyces blumeae. RNAcentral describes it as "sequence contains ITS2". Lineage: Eukaryota; Fungi; Basidiomycota; Microbotryomycetes; Sporidiobolales; Sporidiobolaceae. RNAcentral also lists the same sequence under 1 other name. The record is from RNAcentral.
AUUCUUCAACCCAACUGUUUAUUAAAAGCGGUUGGUGUUUGGAUUCUGAGCGCUGCUGGCUUCGGCCUAGCUCGUUCGUAAUGCAUCAGCAUCCCUAAUACAAGUUUGGAUUGACUUGGCGUAAUAGACUAUUCGCUAAGGAUUCAGUUCUCGGACUGAGCCAGCUUAAUUAAGGAAGCUUCUAGUCACAAAGUCUACCUUUAG